Molecule: unclassified non-coding RNA, 240 nt
Filed under: soil metagenome
Description: partial contains 5.8S ribosomal RNA, internal transcribed spacer 2, and large subunit ribosomal RNA
Source: RNAcentral
AACGCACGAGACCUGCGGACCUGCGGAAGGAUCAUUAAUGAGAAGCUGCCCCUCGUGGGUAGACCUCCCACCCUCUGUGAACUUACCUUUGUUGCUUUGGCAGGCCCGUCCUCUGGACCGCCGGCUUCGGCUGGCCCGCGCCUGCCAGAGGAUUCCAAACCCUGUCUGUCAGUGUUGUCUGAGUCUAUAUGAAAUCGUUAAAACUUUCAACAACGGAUCUCUAGAUCGGAAGAGCACACG